UCCGCGCUGCAUUAGCUAGUUGGUAAGGUAACGGCUUACCAAGGCAACGAUGCAUAGCCGACCUGAGAGGGUGAUCGGCCACACUGGAACUGAGACACGGUCCAGACUCCUACGGGAGGCAGCAGUAGGGAAUCUUCCGCAAUGGGCGAAAGCCUGACGGAGCAACGCCGCGUGAGUGAUGAAGGUCUUCGGAUCGUAAAACUCUGUUAUUAGGGAAGAACAUAUGUGUAAGUAACUGUGCACAUCUUGACGGUACCUAAUCAGAAAGCCACGGCUAACUACGUGCCAGCAGCCGCGGUAAUACGUAGGUGGCAAGCGUUAUCCGGAAUUAUUGGGCGUAAAGCGCGCGUAGGCGGUUUUUUAAGUCUGAUGUGAAAGCCCACGGCUCAACCGUGGAGGGUCAUUGGAAACUGGAAAACUUGAGUGCAGAAGAGGAAAGUGGAAUUCCAUGUGUAGCGGUGAAAUGCGCAGAGAUAUGGAGGAACACCAGUGGCGAAGGCGACUUUCUGGUCUGUAACUGACGCUGAUGUGCGAAAGCGUGGGGAUCAAACAGGAUUAGAUACCCUGGUAGUCCACGCCGUAAACGAUGAGUGCUAAGUGUUAGGGGGUUUCCGCCCCUUAGUGCUGCAGCUAACGCAUUAAGCACUCCGCCUGGGGAGUACGACCGCAAGGUUGAAACUCAAAGGAAUUGACGGGGACCCGCACAAGCGGUGGAGCAUGUGGUUUAAUUCGAAGCAACGCGAAGAACCUUACCAAAUCUUGACAUCCUUUGACAACUCUAGAGAUAGAGCCUUCCCCUUCGGGGGACAAAGUGACAGGUGGUGCAUGGUUGUCGUCAGCUCGUGUCGUGAGAUGUUGGGUUAAGUCCCGCAACGAGCGCAACCCUUAAGCUUAGUUGCCAUCAUUAAGUUGGGCACUCUAAGUUGACUGCCGGUGACAAACCGGAGGAAGGUGGGGAUGACGUCAAAUCAUCAUGCCCCUUAUGAUUUGGGCUACACACGUGCUACAAUGGACAAUACAAAGGGCAGCGAAACCGCGAGGUCAAGCAAAUCCCAUAAAGUUGUUCUCAGUUCGGAUUGUAGUCUGCAACUCGACUACAUGAAGCUGGAAUCGCUAGUAAUCGUAGAUCAGCAUGCUACGGUGAAUACGUUCCCGGGUCUUGUACACACCGCCCGUCACACCACGAGAGUUUGUAACACCCGAAGCCGGUGGAGUAACCUUUUAGGAGCUAGCCGUCGAAGGUGGGACAAAUGAUUGGGGUGAAGUCGUAACAAGGUAGCCGUAUCGGAAGGUGCGGCU
Molecule: ribosomal RNA, 1299 nt
Filed under: Staphylococcus aureus
Lineage: Bacteria; Bacillati; Bacillota; Bacilli; Caryophanales; Staphylococcaceae
Description: bacterial SSU rRNA
Rfam family: Bacterial small subunit ribosomal RNA
Source: RNAcentral